Small nuclear RNA from Mauremys mutica (yellowpond turtle), 160 nucleotides. RefSeq annotates it as U1 spliceosomal RNA. The record is from RefSeq and is a predicted model, not a curated record. The transcript has a single exon. Lineage: Eukaryota; Metazoa; Chordata; Testudines; Geoemydidae.
AUACUUACCUGGCGGGGGAGAUCCCAUGAUCACGAAGGUGAUUGGCUCAGGGGGAGGCUCAUCCAUUGCACUGGGGGUGGGCUGACCCCUGCGAUUUCCCCAAAGGCGGGAAACUUGGCUGCAGAUUUGGGAGGGGGCUGCGCGCGCGCGCGCUCUCCUC